GAUGAACGCUGGCGGCGUGCUUAACACAUGCAAGUCGAGCGAAGCACUUUACUUGGAUUUCUUCGGAAUGACGAGUAUUGUGACUGAGCGGCGGACGGGUGAGUAACGCGUGGGUAACCUGCCUCAUACAGGGGGAUAACAGUUAGAAAUGACUGCUAAUACCGCAUAAGACCACAGCACCGCGUGGUGCAGGGGUAAAAACUCCGGUGGUAUGAGAUGGACCCGCGUCUGAUUAGCUGGUUGGUGGGGUAACGGCCUACCAAGGCAACGAUCAGUAGCCGGCCUGAGAGGGCGACCGGCCACAUUGGGACUGAGACACGGCCCAAACUCCUACGGGAGGCAGCAGUGGGGAAUAUUGCACAAUGGGGGAAACCCUGAUGCAGCGACGCCGCGUGAAGGAAGAAGUAUUUCGGUAUGUAAACUUCUAUCAGCAGGGAAGAAAAUGACGGUACCUGACUAAGAAGCCCCGGCUAACUACGUGCCAGCAGCCGCGGUAA
Molecule: ribosomal RNA, 497 nt
Filed under: uncultured bacterium
Lineage: Bacteria
Description: partial 16S ribosomal RNA
Rfam family: Bacterial small subunit ribosomal RNA
Source: RNAcentral